AUUGAACGCUGGCGGCAUGCCUAACACAUGCAAGUCGAACGGCAGCACAGCAGUAGCAAUACUGUGGGUGGCGAGUGGCGGACGGGUGAGGAAUACGUCGGAAUCUGCCCAGUCGUGGGGGAUAACUAGCCGAAAGGUUAGCUAAUACCGCAUACGACCGAGAGGUGAAAGCGGGGGACCGCAAGGCCUCGCGCGAUUGGAUGAGCCGACGUCGGAUUAGCUAGUUGGUGGGGUAAAGGCCUACCAAGGCUUCGAUGGAUAGCUGGUCUGAGAGGAUGAUCAGCCACACUGGAACUGAGACACGGUCCAGACUCCUACGGGAGGCAGCAGUGGGGAAUAUUGCGCAAUGGGCGAAAGCCUGACGCAGCAAUACCGCGUGAGUGAGGAAGGCCUUCGGGUUGUAAAGCUCUGUCAGGGUGGAAAAAUGGCAAGUGGUCUAAUAGGCCGCUUGAUUGAUGGUACACCCAAAGGAAGCACCGGCUAACUUCGUG
This 491-nucleotide ribosomal RNA is filed under the name uncultured bacterium. Its description in RNAcentral is "bacterial SSU rRNA". It matches the Rfam family "Bacterial small subunit ribosomal RNA", at positions 29 to 507 of the family's 1533-position model. The record is from RNAcentral.